RNAcentral lists this ribosomal RNA (251 nucleotides) under uncultured bacterium. RNAcentral's name for it is "partial 16S ribosomal RNA". It matches the Rfam family "Bacterial small subunit ribosomal RNA", at positions 57 to 305 of the family's 1533-position model. The record is from RNAcentral.
GCAAGUCGAGGGGUAACAGAGGUGCUUGCACUUGCUGACGACCGGCGCACGGGUGCGUAACGCGUAUAGAACCUACCUUUUACAGAGGGAUAGCCUUUAGAAAUGAAGAUUAAUACCUCAUAGUAUUGCGAUUUGGCAUCGGGUUGUAAUUAAAGAUUUAUUGGUAAAAGAUGACUAUGCGUUCUAUUAGUUAGUUGGUGAGGUAACGGCUCACCAAGACAGCGAUAGAUAGGGGUCCUGAGAGGGAGAUC